GCAAUAAGUGGUACAAUACUCUCUCAAGAUGCUUUGCAGUAGCAGCGAGCCACAGCUCUUAGUCAGCCAGAUCAGCAGAAGAGGAAACACUGAAUACUUGGUAUCUUCCUAAAGAACACUAUGCUUGCUAAACCAUCGGUGAGUGUCGCAUUCCUCAGCACCUUCUACCUGGUAUUCCCCAACCCUCAUCAGAAGAGAAAGAAUCUGGUACUCAUUCUCUGUUGCAACCCCAUCAUCCAGCAAUUAAUUACAGUUCAAGUCUUCAAGCAUUCUUCAGACCUAGUGUACUUUCUGCUAUGUAUGUUAAUGGCACACAAGAGAUGACAUUAAUAGAUGAAAGUGAGGCUACUCUUGCCACAUUAUCAGAAAGAAAUUUUGAGCAGCACUGACUUACAAUGGGGAAGAAAAUACUUGUCUCUUCUUUGUUGCUGACUCAAAGGUCCGAUCCCCUGACUGGAAGCUAACCUUGGCUAGAUUCCCAGAAUUGUCUCUUCUAUUCCCACAACCAACCUUUUUCAAAGACUUCAGAAGACUGGAUCAACAUUUUUGCCUAUGUUGGAUGACUCACAGAAGCACACACUAUAUAGUAUAGUGAUUUUAUGGCCUUUCUUCUAAACCCAGACUUGCUUAGUUAUGUAUUCUUUAAUGGGCCAAGAGUGCUACAACUUCCACUCUGCUCUACCAGCAGCCACAGGCUUGGAUUUCUAUCAAUAAUUAAAUUUAUUAAAUGUAAUAGCCUUUAGCAAGCACCAAGUUUAGUUAGCUAAAGCUUAAAAGAACGGCCUACAUAGUAUCCACAGUCAGACUAUAGUGGAAGUAUGUGAUCCCUAGACUCAGCUUCUGGUGUCCCAGUCAUUUUAUGCUAAGGAAUGAGGUUGAAUAUGUGCAGACAACCUCAGCUCAGGGAAGCCAAUAAGCUCUAGGGUCCCUUUAGCCUUUAAUAACAAGAUAAUCACAUGGCCCUUCCAAUAUAUAUGACCAGGGGUCCAUGACCAACUUCCAUCUACAAAUGCCGUUGUGUGUCAUCAAAGCUGGUUUCUCCUUAUUUAAUAAACAAUGUUGACAGUG
Nomascus leucogenys (northern white-cheeked gibbon) is the source of this 1068-nucleotide long non-coding RNA. RefSeq lists it as uncharacterized. Lineage: Eukaryota; Metazoa; Chordata; Mammalia; Primates; Hylobatidae. The transcript has 3 exons. The record is from RefSeq and is a predicted model, not a curated record.